RNAcentral lists this ribosomal RNA (1512 nucleotides) under Vibrio splendidus. Its description in RNAcentral is "partial 23S ribosomal RNA". It matches the Rfam family "Bacterial large subunit ribosomal RNA", at positions 393 to 1893 of the family's 2925-position model. Lineage: Bacteria; Pseudomonadati; Pseudomonadota; Gammaproteobacteria; Vibrionales; Vibrionaceae. The record is from RNAcentral.
UCAUAAUCAGUGAAAACGAGUAGGGCGGGACACGUGAUAUCCUGUCUGAAUAUGGGGGGACCAUCCUCCAAGGCUAAAUACUACUGACUGACCGAUAGUGAACCAGUACCGUGAGGGAAAGGCGAAAAGAACCCCUGUGAGGGGAGUGAAAUAGAACCUGAAACCGUGUACGUACAAGCAGUAGGAGCACCUUCGUGGUGUGACUGCGUACCUUUUGUAUAAUGGGUCAGCGACUUAAUUUUAGUAGCAAGGUUAACCGUUUAGGGGAGCCGUAGGGAAACCGAGUCUUAACUGGGCGUACAGUUGCUAGGAUUAGACCCGAAACCAGGUGAUCUAGCCAUGGGCAGGUUGAAGGUUGAGUAACAUCAACUGGAGGACCGAACCGACUAAUGUUGAAAAAUUAGCGGAUGACUUGUGGCUAGGGGUGAAAGGCCAAUCAAACCUGGAGAUAGCUGGUUCUCCCCGAAAGCUAUUUAGGUAGCGCCUCGGACGAAUACUACUGGGGGUAGAGCACUGUUAAGGCUAGGGGGUCAUCCCGACUUACCAACCCUUUGCAAACUCCGAAUACCAGUAAGUACUAUCCGGGAGACACACGGCGGGUGCUAACGUCCGUCGUGGAGAGGGAAACAACCCAGACCGCCAGCUAAGGUCCCAAAGUAUAGCUAAGUGGGAAACGAUGUGGGAAGGCUCAGACAGCCAGGAUGUUGGCUUAGAAGCAGCCAUCAUUUAAAGAAAGCGUAAUAGCUCACUGGUCGAGUCGGCCUGCGCGGAAGAUGUAACGGGGCUAAGCUAUACACCGAAGCUGCGGCUACGUACCUUAGGGUAUGUGGGGUAGGGGAGCGUUCUGUAAGCCGUUGAAGGUGGUCUGUAAGGGCUGCUGGAGGUAUCAGAAGUGCGAAUGCUGACAUGAGUAACGAUAAAGGGAGUGAAAAACUCCCUCGCCGGAAGACCAAGGGUUCCUGUCCAACGUUAAUCGGGGCAGGGUAAGUCGACUCCUAAGGCGAGGCCGAAAGGCGUAGUCGAUGGGAAACGGGUUAAUAUUCCCGUACUUCUUACAAUUGCGAUGGGGGGACGGAGAAGGCUAGGUGGGCCUGGCGACGGUUGUCCAGGUUCAAGUAUGUAGGCGGAAAGUUUAGGUAAAUCCGGACUUUCUUAACGCUGAGAUACGAUGUCGAGCUACUACGGUAGUGAAGUCAUUGAUGCCAUGCUUCCAGGAAAAGCCUCUAAGCUUCAGAUUGUAAGGAAUCGUACCCCAAACCGACACAGGUGGUCGGGUAGAGAAUACCAAGGCGCUUGAGAGAACUCGGGUGAAGGAACUAGGCAAAAUGGUACCGUAACUUCGGGAGAAGGUACGCUCUUAUCAGUGAAGUCCCUUGCGGAUGGAGCAGACGAGAGUCGCAGAUACCAGGUGGCUGCAACUGUUUAUUAAAAACACAGCACUGUGCAAAAUCGUAAGAUGACGUAUACGGUGUGACGCCUGCCCGGUGCCGGAAGGUUAAUUGAUGGGGUUAG